GUUUUUUUUGUUUUUGCACGCGUAUCUUGUGUUGAACCUGUGACUUUGUUUUCAUUUCAUUCCAUUUUGUUUCGUCGAAAUGUGUCCUUCCAUGUAUUUAAUCCGUUGUUUGUUCGUCUGUAUGUUUAAAUUUGUGUCUCCGCCACAUGUCCCAGCACUGGCACCGCCGGUCACGGCGUAAGUGCAAGCUGCGUAAGGUGCUAUAUAUACGUUUCUGAUCCACUCUGGUGGACCCCUACUCUUAUCGACAAGUUUGGCGGGUUCUUUUCCGUGUGACUCUUCGGAAACACCGGACCGAGGACUUACCUUUCUGCUACGAAGGACAACAGCCAUUACUGGUUUGGUCCACAGAUGGGCACCGUCGGCCAGGUCUACACUACAUUCGCACGUCAUAACUGAUCUUAUGGGUUACAAGCACAACAAAGGACAGUGCAUAUGCCCUCCACCCUUCAUCCUUUGGACAUUCCCAACUCAGAAAAGGGAUGCAGAACGCAUGCGCAGAAAGCAGUGGGUAAAGUUAGUGAACAGGAUAGACAAACUGGCAGGCAAAGUUUGGCAGGCAAACUCGUAAGUACUUAUACAUGAUGCA
Long non-coding RNA from Branchiostoma belcheri (Belcher's lancelet), 589 nucleotides. RefSeq lists it as uncharacterized. The transcript has 2 exons. NCBI's taxonomy places the organism in Eukaryota, Metazoa, Chordata, Leptocardii, Amphioxiformes, Branchiostomatidae. The record is from RefSeq and is a predicted model, not a curated record.